AUUGAACGCUGGCGGCAGGCCUAACACAUGCAAGUCGAACGAGUGGCGGACGGGUGAGUAAUGUCUGGGAAACUGCCUGAUGGAGGGGGAUGACUACUGGAAACGGUAGCUAAUACCGCAUACCAUCGGAUGUGCCCAUAUGGGAUUAGCUAGUAGGUGGGGUAAAGGCUCACCUAGGCGACGAUCCCUAGCUGGUAUGAGAGGAUGACCACCCACAAUGGAACUGAGACACGGUCCAGACUCCUACGCGAGGUAGUAGAGGGGAAUAGUGCACAAUUGGCGCAAGCCUGAUGCAGCCAUGCCGCGUGUAUGAAGAAGGCCUUCGGGUUGUAAAGUACUUUCAGAGGGGAGGCUUUACCCGAAGAAGAAGCACCGGCUAACUCCGUGCCAGCAGCCGCGGUAAUAC
This 406-nucleotide ribosomal RNA is filed under the name uncultured bacterium. RNAcentral describes it as "partial 16S ribosomal RNA". It matches the Rfam family "Bacterial small subunit ribosomal RNA", at positions 30 to 526 of the family's 1533-position model. The record is from RNAcentral.